GACGGGCCUCCUCGCAUUCCGGCGUGGUCCACCUGGUCAGGUCCGGAAGGAAGCAGCCAAGGCCGCUCACCGGAAGUGCCGAGGGUCAGGCUCGUCCAC
Molecule: signal recognition particle RNA, 99 nt
Filed under: Burkholderiales bacterium
Lineage: Bacteria; Pseudomonadati; Pseudomonadota; Betaproteobacteria; Burkholderiales
Also listed under: 1 other name
Description: signal recognition particle sRNA small type
Rfam family: Bacterial small signal recognition particle RNA
About the family: The signal recognition particle (SRP) is a universally conserved ribonucleoprotein involved in the co-translational targeting of proteins to membranes. Archaeal SRP consists of a 7S RNA and homologues of the eukaryotic SRP19 and SRP54 proteins.
Source: RNAcentral